GGUUGUGCCCUUGAGGCGUGGCUUCCGGAGCUAACGCGUUAAGUCGACCGCCUGGGGAGUACGGCCGCAAGGUUAAAACUCAAAUGAAUUGACGGGGGCCCGCACAAGCGGUGGAGCAUGUGGUUUAAUUCGAUGCAACGCGAAGAACCUUACCUACUCUUGACAUCCAGAGAACUUAGCAGAGAUGCUUUGGUGCCUUCGGGAACUCUGAGACAGGUGCUGCAUGGCUGUCGUCAGCUCGUGUUGUGAAAUGUUGGGUUAAGUCCCGCAACGAGCGCAACCCUUAUCCUUUGUUGCCAGCGGUUCGGCCGGGAACUCAAAGGAGACUGCCAGUGAUAAACUGGAGGAAGGUGGGGAUGACGUCAAGUCAUCAUGGCCCUUACGAGUAGGGCUACACACGUGCUACAAUGGCGCAUACAAAGAGAAGCGACCUCGCGAGAGCAAGCGGACCUCAUAAAGUGCGUCGUAGUCCGGAUUGGAGUCUGCAACUCGACUCCAUGAAGUCGGAAUCGCUAGUAAUCGUAGAUCAGAAUGCUACGGUGAAUACGUUCCCGGGCCUUGCACUCACCGCCCGUCA
RNAcentral lists this ribosomal RNA (577 nucleotides) under Enterobacterales bacterium. RNAcentral's name for it is "bacterial SSU rRNA". It matches the Rfam family "Bacterial small subunit ribosomal RNA", at positions 822 to 1399 of the family's 1533-position model. Lineage: Bacteria; Pseudomonadati; Pseudomonadota; Gammaproteobacteria; Enterobacterales. The record is from RNAcentral.